UACGUAGGGUGCAAGCGUUGUCCGGAAUUAUUGGGCGUAAAGAGCUCGUAGGCGGUCUGUCGCGUCGAAUGUGAAAACCCGGGGCUCAACCCCGGGCCUGCAUUCGAUACGGGCAGGCUAGAGUUCGGUAGGGGAGUCUGGAAUUCCUGGUGUAGCGGUGAAAUGCGCAGAUAUCAGGAGGAACACCGGUGGCGAAGGCGGGACUCUGGGCCGAUACUGACGCUGAGGAGCGAAAGCGUGGGGAGCGAACAGG
This 253-nucleotide ribosomal RNA is filed under the name uncultured bacterium. Its description in RNAcentral is "partial 16S ribosomal RNA". It matches the Rfam family "Bacterial small subunit ribosomal RNA", at positions 524 to 776 of the family's 1533-position model. The record is from RNAcentral.